Molecule: ribosomal RNA, 460 nt
Filed under: uncultured bacterium
Lineage: Bacteria
Description: partial 16S ribosomal RNA
Rfam family: Bacterial small subunit ribosomal RNA
Source: RNAcentral
CCUACGGGUGGCAGCAGUGAGGAAUAUUGGUCAAUGGACGAAAGUCUGAACCAGCCAAGUAGCGUGAAGGAUGAAUGCCCUAUGGAUUGUAAACUUCUUUUGUCAAGGAAUAAAACGAGGCACGUGUGCCUUUUUGCAUGUACUUUAUGAAUAAGGAUCGGCUAACUCCGUGCCAGCAGCCGCGGUAAUACGGAGGAUCCGAGCGUUAUCCGGAUUUAUUGGGUUUAAAGGGAGCGUAGAUGGGUUGUUAAGUCAGUUGUGAAAGUUCGGGGCUCAACCGUCAAAGUGCCUUUGAUACUGGCAGUCUUGAGUAGAGGAGAGGUAGGCGGAAUUCGUGGUGUAGCGGUGAAAUGCUUAGAUAUCACGAAGAACCCCGAUUGCGAAGGCAGCUUACUAAACGGGGACUGACACUGAGGCUCGAAAGCGUGGGUAUCAAACAGGAUUAGAUACCCGUGUAGUC